CGUAGGGUGCAAGCGUUAAUCGGAAUUACUGGGCGUAAAGCGUGCGCAGGCGGUUAUGUAAGACAGUUGUGAAAUCCCCGGGCUCAACCUGGGAAUUGCAUUUGUGACUGCAUAGCUAGAGUACGGUAGAGGGGGAUGGAAUUCCGCGUGUAGCAGUGAAAUGCGUAGAUAUGCGGAGGAACACCGAUGGCGAAGGCAAUCCCCUGGACCUGUACUGACGCUCAUGCACGAAAGCGUGGGGAGCAAACAGGAUUAGAUACCCUGGUAGUCCACGCCCUAAACGAUGUCAACUGGUUGUUGGGUCUUCACUGACUCAGUAACGAAGCUAACGCGUGAAGUUGACCGCCUGGGGAGUACGGCCGCAAGGUUG
This 370-nucleotide ribosomal RNA is filed under the name uncultured organism. RNAcentral's name for it is "bacterial SSU rRNA". It matches the Rfam family "Bacterial small subunit ribosomal RNA", at positions 526 to 896 of the family's 1533-position model. The record is from RNAcentral.